CUGAGGGCUGUCGGAGGAGGUUGAGAUCCAAUGACGAGCAAGGGCCGAAGGAGACGUGUCAUUUCCUGUAGCUCUUUGCUCAGCUGAGAGACUUGCUGGGAUAGACUAGUCAUCUGUGAAUGAGAUCAACAGAAUUUUGGUGAUGCUCUGCUUGGUCUCCAGCUGCUCCUGGUUCACUGCACACAAAUGCACACAAAACGAGACCACGUCGUCUGAAAGCACUCCAGCAUGCGCUGCGCGAGGGCCUUGGGAAGUCGAUGCACGCGGAUGAAGUCUUUGAGGUCUUUGGUACGAGUGUGAUAGAGCGAGCGGCGCGAGUACAUCCUCUGGAUAAUGGCCGUCACAUUACCGAAGACCGCGGCGUGCAUGAGUGCUGGAGAAAGACACAACAAACAAACAUUUCAGGUGUCCAGACAGCUGGUAAAGCACAGCUCUGCUGCGGCGCCGGUUGGCAUUGAAGCCCGGUGGCCGUGUGACCUUGUGCACCUCCAACCCCGUCUCCUCGUCUGAGCAGAGAACAGCCAUAUAUCAUUUUAGUUUUAG
Long non-coding RNA from Labeo rohita (rohu), 543 nucleotides. RefSeq lists it as uncharacterized. The record is from RefSeq and is a predicted model, not a curated record. The transcript is spliced from 4 exons. NCBI's taxonomy places the organism in Eukaryota, Metazoa, Chordata, Actinopteri, Cypriniformes, Cyprinidae.